Molecule: ribosomal RNA, 230 nt
Filed under: uncultured bacterium
Lineage: Bacteria
Description: partial 16S ribosomal RNA
Rfam family: Bacterial small subunit ribosomal RNA
Source: RNAcentral
UGCGUAGGCGGACUAAUAAGUCAGUGGUGAAAUCUCUCGGCUCAACCGGGAAACUGCCAUUGAUACUGUUAGUCUUGAGUUCGGUUGAGGUAGGCGGAAUGUGUAAUGUAGCGGUGAAAUGCUUAGAUAUUACACAGAACACCAAUUGCGUAGGCAGCUUACUAGACCGACACUGACGCUGAGGCACGAAAGCGUGGGUAGCGAACAGGAUUAGAUACCCUGGUAGUCCC